CCGCACGGGUGAGUAACACGUAUCCAACCUGCCGUCUACUCUUGGACAGCCUUCUGAAAGGAAGAUUAAUACAAGAUGGCAUCAUGAGUCCGCAUGUUCACAUGAUUAAAGGUAUUCCGGUAGACGAUGGGGAUGCGUUCCAUUAGAUAGUAGGCGGGGUAACGGCCCACCUAGUCCUCGAUGGAUAGGGGUUCUGAGAGGAAGGUCCCCCACAUUGGAACUGAGCACGGUCCAA
This 235-nucleotide ribosomal RNA is filed under the name uncultured bacterium. RNAcentral's name for it is "partial 16S ribosomal RNA". It matches the Rfam family "Bacterial small subunit ribosomal RNA", at positions 98 to 334 of the family's 1533-position model. The record is from RNAcentral.